This is an RNA transcript of Chenopodium quinoa (quinoa), 3069 nucleotides long. It is a transcript of the gene named peptidyl-prolyl cis-trans isomerase CYP71-like, with no coding region annotated. The record is from RefSeq and is a predicted model, not a curated record. The transcript is spliced from 14 exons. Lineage: Eukaryota; Viridiplantae; Streptophyta; Magnoliopsida; Caryophyllales; Amaranthaceae.
CCAUCUUCUUCAUUACUUUAAUCUCACCUUCAAAGAAGUGAAAUUUGCUCGAACUCCAGAAACCUCAAAUCCAACUUCAACCGCCAUUGUUAUACAGAGAAACAAGAGCACAGAUUAAUGGAGGAGCCUCAAAUUGAGAAUGAGAAUGGGAAAUUGACCGAAGUUGUGGAUACCCAGUUAAUUAAUCCCAGCAAUGGAAAAGCAGCAGCAGCAGUUAGAGGAGUUGAAGAAGAAGAAGGAGAGGAAGUGGCGGUGGGCCCAGCUCCUCCUCCUCAACGUCGCCCUAAACGUCCUCUUCAGUUUGAGCAUGCUUACCUCGAUUCUCUUCCCUGCGCCAAUAUGUAUGAGAAGAGUUAUAUGCAUCGAGAUGUGGUCACCCAUGUCGCGGUUUCUUGUGCUGAUUUCUUCAUAACCGGAAGUUACGAUGGCCAUCUGAAGUUUUGGAAGAAGAAACCAAUCGGCAUUGAGUUUGCAAAGCAUUUUAGAUCUCAUCUGGGGCCCAUCGAAGGAUUAGCUGUUAGUUUUGAUGGCUUGCUUUGUUGUACAAUUUCCAGUGAUAAUUCUGUGAAAGUGUAUGAUGUGGUGAACUAUGACAUGAUGGUCAUGAUUCGUUUACCAUAUAUCCCGGGUGCUGUUGAGUGGGUUUACAAACAAGGAGAUAUUAAAGCAAAGCUGGCCAUUAGUGAUCGGGACUCUCCAUUUGUGCAUAUAUAUGAUGUGCGAGCUGGAAAUAAUGAACCGAUCAUUUCCAAAAAGGUACACGCUGGACCGGUGAAAGUCAUGAAAUACAACCCUGUAUUUGAUGCCGUUAUUUCUGCAGAUACAAGGGGAAUAUUUGAGUACUGGGACCCUGUGACACUUGAUUUUUCUGAGAAUGGAAUCACUUUCAAGUUGAAAACUGAUACAAAUCUUUUGGAAAUGGUGAAGUGUAAAACAACAGUUUCUGCAAUAGAGGCGAGUCCUGAUGGUAAGCAAUUUUCUGUUACCUCACCUGAUCGCAGGAUACGUGUAUUUUGGUAUAGGACUGGUAAAUUGAGGCGAGUUUAUGAUGAAUCACUCGAGGUGGCUCAAGAUCUACAAAGAAGUGAUAAUCCUAUGUAUCGUCUGGAGGCCAUUGAUUUUGGAAGAAGAAUGGCUGUUGAAAAGCAAAUUGAGCAAACAGAGGCUGUUCCUCAACCAAAUGCAGUAUUUGAUGAAAGCUCAAACUUUCUUAUCUAUGCUACACUCCUUGGUAUUAAAGUGGUAAAUUUGCACACCAAUACUGUGUCGCGAAUUCUUGGUAAGGUGGAAAGUAAUGACAGGUUCUUGAGGAUUGCCCUGUAUCAAGGUGACCGAAGUAAUAAAAGAGCAAGAAAGAUACCUACGGCUGCUGUUAAUGUUAAUGAAAGCAAAGACCCCUUGAUAGAUCCAACUUUGCUAUGUUGUGCAUUCAAAAAACACAGACUGUAUUUAUUUAGUCGGAGAGAGCCAGAAGAGACUGAAGAUGCCACUAAGGGACGAGAUGUGUUUAACGAAAAACCUCCUGCAGAUGAACUCUUGGCUGUGUCAGAAUUAGGAAAUUCAGCAACAACAUCCCUACCAGACAACGUGAUUCUAAACACAACAAUGGGAGACAUUCACAUGAAGCUCUAUCCAGAAGAAUGUCCAAAAACUGUGGAAAACUUUACCACGCAUUGUCGGAAUGGAUAUUAUGAUAAUCUGAUUUUCCAUCGUGUCAUUAAAGGUUUCAUGGUUCAGACAGGAGAUCCACUUGGAGAUGGAACUGGUGGGCAAUCAAUUUGGGGAAGGGAAUUUGAGGAUGAAUUUCACAAAAGUUUGCGGCAUGACAGGCCCUUCACUGUUUCUAUGGCAAAUGCUGGUCCUAAUUCUAAUGGUUCACAAUUUUUCAUAACCACGGUAGCUACUCCGUGGCUUGAUAACAAACAUACAGUUUUUGGUAGAGUUGUCAAGGGAAUGGACGUUGUACAGGCCAUAGAAAAAGUGAAGACUGACAGAGACGACAAGCCAUACCAAGAUGUCAAGAUUCUUAGCGUAACCGUACCCAAAUCCUAGGAGAGCUUAUGUAUUACAUAUUGGAUGAUGGCUGUUACUUGCUGCAAGUUGUCCACACCAGAAUAUGCUGCCUCAUCCGUGUUUUAAAAAUGUUGGUUGCAAUAUUUCCUGAAUGGCUUCCUGUUCGGCCAGUUGCCUUUGGACCAGGAUAAUGUUUUUUAUGGCAAGUCCUGUAUAAUAAGUCGGGUUAAGUUGAAGUAUUCAAAUUCUGAAAAUUGGUUGCUGCGAAAAUUGCUAUUCAGUAGCUGUUGGCAGCUGUGAGGUUGUUGAUGCUCCCAUUAUUGUCUGGGUGAGUUAUUGGGGGGUUUUGUUCUUUUGUGCCAAUCUGUUCAUGAACACAAUAAUGAAUGGAUUUGAUUAUUUAUGAGAAACAAUACCAGUGGCGCCAAUAGUGAAGUUUGAUUUCAUUUACAGAUCAUGAAUUCUUGUACCCCUUCCUGAUACAGGAUACUUUCUUGCUAUGCUAUCAUCAUCAAGAUAUCGUUGAGAGGAUCACUAUUUUUUUUUUUUCAUGUCUGUAUAUGUUAAUGAUCAGAUAUGGACCACCGCAACUUAUUUAGAUCAAAAUCUGAUCAAUGUCCUAAGUUGAAGGUUUUGUUUUUCUUGGCUAGAGAAUAUAAUUAAUCAGUACUUUUGGACAAUAAAAGAAAGUUUUUUUUUACAGGAAAUCGCACUUCUAAGCCUAAGGUGAUUAUCUAUGUUAUUUUUACAAAUUGACAUGCAAUGCAGUUGGCAUGCCAGGGUCUGAAAAGUAAAUGAUUUUCUUCUUCUUCUUCUUCUUCUUGAACGCCUUAAUCCCAUUAGUGGGGUCGGCUACAUGAACCAACAUAAGGACUUCCUACGAGGUCACCCAUCCUAGUACUAAUCUCAAUCAUUGUGGCUCAUGUCAAGCGAUGUGACAAAUUGUCAAUUUUAAUUAUUAAAUUUCAGGGUCUGAAAAGUAAAUGAUUUUCUAUGUGAUUAUAAUUACUGUAUAUUACUUCGUAUGAUUUAAUGUUUGUUAAGAUUUUUUCUGGA